Molecule: ribosomal RNA, 419 nt
Filed under: uncultured bacterium
Lineage: Bacteria
Description: bacterial SSU rRNA
Rfam family: Bacterial small subunit ribosomal RNA
Source: RNAcentral
GAGGAAUAUUGGUCAAUGGGCGCAAGCCUGAACCAGCCAAGCCGCGUGCAGGAUGAAGGCCCUAUGGGUUGUAAACUGCUUUUAUACGGGAAGAACCCCCCGACGUGUCGGGGACUGACGGUACCGUAGGAAUAAGCAUCGGCUAACUCCGUGCCAGCAGCCGCGGUAAUACGGAGGAUGCGAGCGUUAUCCGGAUUUAUUAGGUAUAAAGGGUGCGUAGGCGGACCUGUAAGUCAGCGGUGAAAUACUACGGCUUAACCGUAGAACUGCCGUUGAUACUGCGGGUCUUGAGUACAGUUGAGGUAGGCGGAAUGUGUGGUGUAGCGGUGAAAUGCUUAGAUAUCACACAGAACACCGAUUGCGAAGGCAGCUUACUAAGUUGUAACUGACGCUGAUGCACGAAAGCAUGGGGAGCAAAC